This is a non-coding RNA of Elusimicrobia bacterium GWD2_63_28, 73 nucleotides long. Lineage: Bacteria; Pseudomonadati; Elusimicrobiota. The record is from Rfam.
GCUGGGGUAGCUCAGCUGGUAGAGCACUUCAUUGGUAAUGAAGAGGUCGUGGGUUCAAUCCCCAUCCCCAGCU